UGGGGAAUAUUGGGCAAUGGGCGCAAGCCUGACCCAGCAAUGCCGCGUGUGUGAAGAAGGCCUGAGGGUUGUAAAGCACUUUCACUGGGGAGGCAUUACCCAGAGAAGAAGCGCCGGCUAACUCCGUGCCAGCAGCCGCGGUAAUACGGAGGGCGCGAGCGUUAAUCGGAAUUACUGGGCGUAAAGCGUGCGUAGGCGGCGCGUUAAGUCAGGCGUGAAAGCCCCGGGCUCAACCUGGGAACUGCGCUUGAUACUGGCGCGCUCGAGUUUGGCAGAGGGGGGCGGAAUUCCGGGUGUAGCGGUGAAAUGCAUAGAUAUCGUCAAGAACACCGAUAGCGAAGGCAGCUUACUAAGCUGUAACUGACGCUGAGGCACGAAAGUGUGGGGAUCAAACAGGAUUAGAUACCCGAGUAGU
Molecule: ribosomal RNA, 415 nt
Filed under: uncultured bacterium
Lineage: Bacteria
Description: bacterial SSU rRNA
Rfam family: Bacterial small subunit ribosomal RNA
Source: RNAcentral